GAUGAACGCUAGCGGCAGGCUUAACACAUGCAAGUCGAGGGGCAGCAUGAAGGUUAGCAAUAACUUUUGUAUGGCGACCGGCGCAAGGGUGCGUAACGCGUGAGCAACUUGCCGUUCUGGGAAUAACCGUGGAAACGCCGACUAAUACCCCAUGGCAUUGAUUUCAGGCAUCUGUUAUCAAUUAAAGAAUUUCGGAAACGGAUAGGCUCGCGUGACAUUAGCUAGAUGGCGGGGUAACGGCCCACCAUGGCGACGAUGUCUAGGGGUUCUGAGAGGUUAAUCCCCCACACUGGUACUGAGACACGGACCAGACUCCUACGGGAGGCAGCAGUGAGGAAUAUUUGGACAAAUGGAUGGAAAUCUGAUCCAGCCAUGCCGCGUGCAGGAUGACGGCCCUAUGGGUCUUAAACUUCUUUUGUAAGGGAGCAAUAAGUCUCACGUGUGGGAUGAUGAGAGUACCUUACGAAUAAGCAUCGGCUAACUCCGU
Molecule: ribosomal RNA, 487 nt
Filed under: uncultured bacterium
Lineage: Bacteria
Description: bacterial SSU rRNA
Rfam family: Bacterial small subunit ribosomal RNA
Source: RNAcentral